This 1173-nucleotide unclassified non-coding RNA is filed under the name Pomacea canaliculata. RNAcentral describes it as "phospholipid scramblase 1-like, transcript variant X2". Lineage: Eukaryota; Metazoa; Mollusca; Gastropoda; Architaenioglossa; Ampullariidae. The record is from RNAcentral.
UUUACUCUCACCUGCAGCAACAUGGCGGUUGUGUGGGGUGGGACAUUGUCGCGCUUCUGUUAAAGGCAGAUAGAAAGCUAUUAUGAAUAAUGGGAGAAACAAAGGCAGUUAUCAGACAGCCCCAAUCAGACAAACAUUCGCUGGAGUUGUCAGAAUUGCCAUUUGCCUUUGGUUUAGGCGUCGAACAGUUGGAACAGCAGACGACAAAAACUAGACUCCUCCCGAUGCUUAAUAAAAUAACUGUAAAACAACGCUUACAUAAGCUUGAAGUCUGUUUUGGCUGUACUCGUAAUAACCGCUAUUGUGUUUACACUGAGGAAGGAGAUCAGAUUUAUUAUGUUUAUGAAGAUUCAGUAUGCCUUAUGCGCCAGAUGACUGGAGCAUUGAGAGGUUUAAUCCUAAAAAUGACAGAUGAGGAUCAGGAAGAUGUUUUAAUAAUGAAGCGACCAGCACGAUGCAGUAGCCGCUGUUUCUGGUCGUGUUGUAGCCUGCAGAUGGAGCUGCUGUAUUCCACAAUAUCGUGUAGUUAAUAAAGAAGGCAGUCUUUUGUGGAGAGUGAAAGGAGGCACUUGCCAUUAUCGGUGCUGCAGCCAGAUCCAUUUUGAAUUCUUGACGCCAGAUGGAGAGAGAGCAGCUGCUGUUAACAGAGAGUGUCAAGGUUGUGACGAACUAAUUGGCGCUUCAAACACAUUUAGCAUUCACUUUUCAGAUGAUCUGGAUGCAAGGCAAAGACUGAUCAUUUUGGGUAGUACUUUUCUGGUGGACCUAAACUAUUUUGAGAAGCAAAACAGAUGCUGGUAAAGGAGUCUGGUUGCAUGUGAGCAGCAACUUCAGUUUGCCUGCCAGUAUAAGAACAAAGAAUGAAGUAUCUGAGGUAGCUGAGGACUCAAAAUGUUACCAACUGAAGAUAGAUUCUUAAGGUGAAGGACAAUCCUCAAGCCGAGCUGCAGUUGAACACUGAUUGAUGGUCAGCUACCAAAUAAAUCAAUAAAUGAUCAUCAAGCAGAUGCUGUCAACAGUGGAAUCCCAUGCAAGAAGGUUAUGUCUGUUUCCUAAACAUUUGACUUAUGCAUGACGUUUUUCUUUUAAACGACCUCUUAUCAAAACCUUCAUGGGGUUCUUUGAACUGUGAUAUUCUUUUACUUAAUUCAAAUAAAAGCAAAACCAAACACA